RNAcentral lists this ribosomal RNA (277 nucleotides) under uncultured prokaryote. RNAcentral's name for it is "partial 16S ribosomal RNA". It matches the Rfam family "Archaeal small subunit ribosomal RNA", at positions 455 to 731 of the family's 1478-position model. The record is from RNAcentral.
GUGUCAGCAGCCGCGGUAAUACCGGCAGCCCGAGUGAUGGCCGAUCUUAUUGGGCCUAAAGCGUCCGUAGCUGGCCGCGCAAGUCUAUCGGAAAAUCCACCCGCUCAACGGGUGGGCGUCCGGUAGAAACUGCGUGGCUUGGGACCGGAAGGCGCGACGGGUACGUCCGGGGUAGGAGUGAAAUCCCGUAAUCCUGGACGGACCGCCGAUGGCGAAAGCACGUCGCGAGGACGGAUCCGACAGUGAGGGACGAAAGCCAGGGUCUCGAACCGGAUUA